Gossypium arboreum is the source of this 471-nucleotide long non-coding RNA. RefSeq lists it as uncharacterized. The record is from RefSeq and is a predicted model, not a curated record. The transcript is spliced from 2 exons. Lineage: Eukaryota; Viridiplantae; Streptophyta; Magnoliopsida; Malvales; Malvaceae.
AUUUAAAACCUUUCCUUCCCCAUUUCCCAUCUCAAACGCAGGCCCAUUUUUUAGCCGAAAAUCAUAGCCUUGAUAGUAAAUUUCUAGGGUUUCUUUUGCUAGCAGCCAAACCACCAUUGUUUUGGUGAUCAACAGCAUGCAGAUAGUACCCAUCCUCCUCAUUGAAGGCGCUCGAUCAUGCCUAGAGAAAUUUGGGAUGGCCGUACGGAGGAGAUGAGCCCGGGCGACGUGGAGAGGGUCUCUCGUGUGAAGCUGACCCUCUAGUUUAUUCCAGAAUAUUCUAGCAUUCUCUAGCUGCUAACAUUACUUUUGGGUGUAUUGGUCCUGGGGCAAUGGGUUAUUUGGGCUAAUUUUUAUUGGGUUUGGGGAUUUGGAAUUUGGGUAGAAAAUGUAUUUGGGCUACUUUUUUUUCUUGGCCUGAUGGUGUGUAAAAUUUGGACAUUUAUUAUAAAUAUUUGGACUUUAAUUUUA